GGCUCAGGACGAACGCUGGCGGCGUGCCUUAAACAUGCAAGUCGAGCGGGGGAGCAAUCCCCAGCGGCAGACGGCUGAGUAACACGUGAGUGACCUGCCCAGAGGUGGGGGAUAGCCCCUCGAAAGAGGGGGUAAUACCGCGUAAGCUGGUUGGGAUAGAGACCAAUCAGGAAAGCAGCAAUGCGCCUUUGGAGGGACUCGCGUCCCAUCAGGUAGUUGGUGAGGUAACGGCCCACCAAGCCGAUGACGGGUAGCUGGUCUGAGAGGAUGAUCAGCCAGACUGGGACUGAGAGACGGCCCAGACUCCUACGGGGGGCAGCAGUUGGGAAUCUUGCACAAUGGGGGAAACCCUGAUGCAGCGACGCCGCGUGGGGGACGAAGGUCUUCGGAUCGUAAACCCCUUUUGUCGGGGAAGAUGAUGACGGUACCCGACGAAUAAGCCCCGGCUAACUACGUGCCAGCAGCCGCGGUAAUACGUAGGGGGCGAGCGUUGUCCGGAUUUACUGGGCGUAAAGAGCGCGUAGGCGGUUCGCUAAGUUGGCUGUGAAAUCUCCUGGCCUAACUGGGAGGGGUCAGCCGAGACUGGCGAACUCGAGGGCGGUAGAGGAAGGUGGAACUCCGGGUGUAGUGGUGAAAUGCGUAGAUAUCCGGAAGAACACCGGUGGCGAAGGCGGCCUUCUGGGCCGUACCUGACGCUGAGGCGCGAAAGCGUGGGGAGCGAACUGAAUUAGAUACUCAGGUAGUCCACGCCCUAAACGAUGGACGCUAGGUGUCGGGGGUAUCGACCCCUCCGGUGCCGAAGCUAACGCAUUAAGCGUCCCGCCUGGGGAGUACGGCCG
RNAcentral lists this ribosomal RNA (839 nucleotides) under uncultured bacterium. RNAcentral's name for it is "bacterial SSU rRNA". It matches the Rfam family "Bacterial small subunit ribosomal RNA", at positions 21 to 888 of the family's 1533-position model. The record is from RNAcentral.